GUUUAAAUAGCUCAGUUGGUUAAAGCACAGUGCUGAUGACCCCAAGGUUGCAGGUUCGAUCCCUGUAAAGGACA
Non-coding RNA from Podarcis lilfordi (Lilford's wall lizard), 74 nucleotides. The record is from the annotation of a GenBank genome assembly. NCBI's taxonomy places the organism in Eukaryota, Metazoa, Chordata, Lepidosauria, Squamata, Lacertidae.